UACGUAUGGUGCAAGCGUUAUCCGGAUUUACUGGGUGUAAAGGGAGCGUAGACGGUUAUGCAAGUCUGAAGUGAAAGCCCAAGGCUCAACCAUGGGACUGCUUUGGAAACUGUAAAACUGGAGUGCAGGAGAGGUAAGCGGAAUUCCUAGUGUAGCGGUGAAAUGCGUAGAUAUUAGGAGGAACACCAGUGGCGAAGGCGGCUUACUGGACUGUAACUGACGUUGAGGCUCGAAGGCGUGGGGAGCAAACAGG
RNAcentral lists this ribosomal RNA (253 nucleotides) under uncultured bacterium. RNAcentral's name for it is "partial 16S ribosomal RNA". It matches the Rfam family "Bacterial small subunit ribosomal RNA", at positions 524 to 776 of the family's 1533-position model. The record is from RNAcentral.